GAGUUUGAUCCUGGCUCAGGAUAAACGCUGGCGGCAUGCCUAAUACAUGCAAGUCGAACGGGAGUGCUUGCACUCCAGUGGCGAACGGGUGAGUAACACGUAUCUAAUCUACCUUUUAGUGGGGGAUAACCUUUGGAAACGAAGGAUAAUACCGCAUAAGUUCUUCAUUAUGACAUCAGAAGAAGAGGAAAGAUCCGUUUGGAUCGCUAAAAAGAUGAGGAUGCGGCGUAUUAGUUAGUAGGCGGGGUAAAGGCCCACCUAGACGAUGAUACGUAGCCGAACUGAGAGGUUGAUCGGCCACAUUGGGACUGAGAUACGGCCCAGACUCCUACGGGAGGCAGCAGUAGGGAAUUUUUCACAAUGGACGAAAGUCUGAUGAAGCAAUGCCGCGUGAGUGAUGAAGGUCUUCGGAUUGU
Molecule: ribosomal RNA, 416 nt
Filed under: uncultured Mesoplasma sp.
Lineage: Bacteria; Bacillati; Mycoplasmatota; Mollicutes; Entomoplasmatales; Entomoplasmataceae
Description: bacterial SSU rRNA
Rfam family: Bacterial small subunit ribosomal RNA
Source: RNAcentral